Long non-coding RNA from Cuculus canorus (common cuckoo), 2657 nucleotides. RefSeq lists it as uncharacterized. Lineage: Eukaryota; Metazoa; Chordata; Aves; Cuculiformes; Cuculidae. The record is from RefSeq and is a predicted model, not a curated record. The transcript has 3 exons.
UUGGAAAGCACAGCAUUCCUAAUGAUCAGCAGUGGUUUGGCUAAAAGGAAAGUGUUACCAGCUUGGACACAGGGGUGGAUCAUGCAGGGUGCUACAGACUCCAUAAAGCUCUGAACUAAUCAAGCCCCACUGAACAUAAUGGGAAGUGACUGCACUCAGCAUCUCUCAGGAGCAUGUUGCAAGAAUGGAUCACACUUAGGGGGAAGAAAAACAUGUACACAAAACACUGCAUGAAGGACAUGGAAGAAGCAGUCUCCUAGCCUUCCGCUGAGUAUGUUGGGCUGCAGCUGUAAGAUGAAGCAACUUCAGGGGAAAGUCCUGUUCACUUCCAGCUCUCCUGCCUGAGCAAACGCUCAGACACUCAAGGAAGAUGGAGCUAUGCCAUCCCAUAAACACACUGCACUUGGAAGGGGAUGAAACCUUACUUUGAAAUGCAACAUCUUCAGCAGCCAGAUGAGCACACGUGUGACCAGGUUUUCAAAGCCGCCUGAUGUGGCCAAUUUUGGACAGUUUUCCAUAAAGAAGAAAAAGGGCCCUAUAUUAUCCUCCUCAUGAUAUUUCAAGUUUUAAUUCCAAACAAUGGAGGUGCCAGGGCUUGUCAAUGACAUGACUGUAACAACUUUAUGAGAACUGGCAAGGAAAUUAAUUUCUCCUACACCUUAUUCUCAGAAACCUUGGAGUUAUUUUGUCUGGACUACUUGAGGCGGGGAGGUUACCUUAAUGCUGACAACUAUAUUAUGUAGUCAGGACAUCUGCCAUGCUGUUAUCAACAAAAAAGGCAUGAUUUAAUUAUCAUAAGCACUACUUUCACUUGUUUGUGAAAACAGAGCAUUAACUUUUUCUUGUUCCCUGUGGAAAAAAUAGAAAUACUCACACACAUCCCAAAAAAAGAAGACAGAUGAGGCACAAUAAAGUCUGAUAAUUCUCUCUCUUUUGGCUUUUCAGUUCCAUCGCAGCUCGCCAAAUUAAGAUUUAUGUGCCAUUUUGUAUCUGUUGUUGCUUCUUUUCCCCCCUUACGGGGAUACAGUUGGAUAAGUUUGGAUAGGACAUUGUAUCCCUGAAGCCAAACUGAAAGGUUUAUAAAGUUGCUAAUAAAAGUUUGGAUCAGGGCCCAAAUAUCAAUCAUCCACUCAUUGUCUUUUUAAACGAGCUCAGGCAUUUUCCCAACCACUCCCAGCAGGUCUCUGCCACUAUUUUAAACUAAGAUUUCAAUUUUAUUUUUUUUUCCCGUGUUGACCUGAAUAAUUUUUCUCUCUCCCUCUCCUUACCUGCCAAAUGCAUCCAUCAGGAUUUUGCCAUGGGCUAUCUGCUUUUGAAGUUAAGAGGAAUUCACUAAUCAUGAGUGUCAACUCCACAAUAAAUGCCAUCACCAUAUGGUAUAUGCUUCUAUUGGGAAUUAUCGCAAAAGGCCUAGCUGUGAAAGUCUGGCUAUAUGUUAGAGGGGUUUUAUUGCUAACUUUCAUAACUCAUGUCAAGUCUUUCAGUUUCUGUAUUCAUUGGCUUAAGUGAGUGCAACUGUUUCCUGAAUUUAUAAAAAUGUUGUCAAGAUCCCUUGAUCUCUCUUCCUCUGCCUCUCUCACACAAACACGUUGAAACACAUUUAUACACAGAGGAAUAUCAUACACAGUGGCAUACAAAUCUUGCAAAAGAGAAAGUUUGUCAAUAGUAUGUCAUUAUGCUUACUCAAAAAAUUCCUCUGUGUGUUAAAUUAAUGAUAAACAUAUCAUAAACACUGCUGAAGGCUUUACAACCUCCUGUCCCAUCACACCAUCCUGAGUGUAAUUCCAUAAUACACAGAAAAAACUAAGUUUGAAAAGCUGUGAGCAGAAUUAACUGAGGUUGCUGACAUAACUGAAAGAAAAAAAAAAAAACUAACUGGAGAGCAUUUGCUUUAGCUAAAGAAGACAAUACCAAAGUGAUGUAACUGCAACUUGUAAAUCUGUGGAAGUGUACUGCACAUUUAAAACAAGAAAUCUGCCUUCUUUAAGAACCUGUCCAAUAAAGAAUUAAAAAAUACAUCUGUGUUUAAACUUCUCACCCUCUAACAUUCUCGACUAGAAGUACAAAUAAAAUUAAGAAAAUUCUCAGAAAAACACUUUCGUGAUCCAAUGAGGUAAGAAGAAAGAAAACUUUUCAAGCAUUUCACUUACCAACUUAGUGACAGAGAAAAAAAUUAUACCAAAAAUAAAAUCUCAGUGCAACUUGAAACACUUGAAACAGCUCUCUUGACUUUCCCUGAGGCUCUAGAAACAUGUGAGUGUCCUUCAUAUCCCAUGUCACUGCCACCAGCCACAUGGAAAUGUCUCCAGUGGGCCUUAUGGCAUUUCAAGAAGACUAGAAGUCUCUGUUUAGGCAAUGACUCCCCUCCCCAUUUAUUACAGUAUAUUAAUACCCUUUAGAUGCAAACUGAAAUAAUAACUUUAAAACUCAUUUAAAAAAACAACUAUAUUUCAGAAACAUGUACCCCUUCACGCAAAAAAAAAAAAAGAAUUUUAAUACUGUCCCUAAGCAGAAUUCAUCCAUUUUUAAGGCUUCUGUCAAGUGUUUCUGGGAACUGUAGGGACAACUGCAUUUAAUUUUCCUGAUUAAUAAUACAAAUGAACUGCUGGCAACAUCACAUCAAAACAAAAGUAGAAGAAUCAGAAAAACUGUUGUAA